GGGCGGGUAGCUCAGUUGGUAGAGCACAUGCCUUACAAGCAUGGGGUCACAGGUUCAAGUCCUGUUCCGCCCACCA
RNAcentral lists this transfer RNA (76 nucleotides) under bacterium. RNAcentral's name for it is "tRNA-Val". It matches the Rfam family "tRNA". Rfam says of the family: Transfer RNA (tRNA) molecules are approximately 80 nucleotides in length. The record is from RNAcentral.